This 22-nucleotide small RNA is filed under the name Arabidopsis thaliana (thale cress). RNAcentral's name for it is "ATSL213240". Lineage: Eukaryota; Viridiplantae; Streptophyta; Magnoliopsida; Brassicales; Brassicaceae. The record is from RNAcentral.
GCGGUUAGUUCAGAUUGUUCUU